Molecule: ribosomal RNA, 253 nt
Filed under: uncultured bacterium
Lineage: Bacteria
Description: partial 16S ribosomal RNA
Rfam family: Bacterial small subunit ribosomal RNA
Source: RNAcentral
UACGGAGGGGGCUAGCGUUGUUCGGAUUCAUUGGGCGUAAAGGGUGCGUAGGUGGCGCGGUAAGUCGGGUGUGAAAUCUCGGAGCUUAACUCCGAAAUUGCAUUCGAUACUGCCGUGCUCGAGGACUGGAGAGGAGACUGGAAUUCAUGGUGUAGCAGUGAAAUGCGUAGAGAUCAUGAGGAAGACCAGUGGCGAAGGCGGGUCUCUGGACAGUUCCUGACGCUGAGGCACGAAGGUCAGGGGAGCAAACGGG